UGGGGAAUAUUGGACAAUGGGCGAAAGCCUGAUCCAGCCAUGCCGCGUGUGUGAAGAAGGUCUUCGGAUUGUAAAGCACUUUAAGUUGGGAGGAAGGGCAGUAAGCGAAUACCUUGCUGUUUUGACGUUACCGACAGAAUAAGCACCGGCUAACUCUGUGCCAGCAGCCGCGGUAAUACAGAGGGUGCAAGCGUUAAUCGGAUUUACUGGGCGUAAAGCGCGCGUAGGCGGCUAAUUGAGUCGGAUGUGAAAUCCCCGAGCUUAACUUGGGAAUUGCAUUCGAUACUGGUUAGCUAGAGUGUGGGAGAGGAUGGUAGAAUUCCAGGUGUAGCGGUGAAAUGCGUAGAGAUCUGGAGGAAUACCGAUGGCGAAGGCAGCCAUCUGGCCUAACACUGACGCUGAGGUACGAAAGCAUGGGGAGCAAACAGG
This 429-nucleotide ribosomal RNA is filed under the name Pseudomonadota bacterium. RNAcentral describes it as "Proteobacteria bacterium partial 16S ribosomal RNA". It matches the Rfam family "Bacterial small subunit ribosomal RNA", at positions 355 to 776 of the family's 1533-position model. The record is from RNAcentral. Lineage: Bacteria; Pseudomonadati; Pseudomonadota.